ACCAAAAUGGCGGCGGCGCACUGCGUAGCGCCGCGCCUCCUCCCGCCCCCAGGCGCCCAGGGGCGGCGCUACGCGUAAUGGCCGCCCCUAACGGUCGUUAGCGGGCGUUAGGCUGGGCACCUGCUUUAGGAGGGGGUCAAACUCUAUGAUCUGCAGAGAUCCCUUCCAACUCCUACAAUUCUGUGAAGCAAAUAUCAGUGGGUCCAGCAGCACUCAGAAUGAAGGUCUUGGGGUACUGCCAAGAAGAUAAAGUGAUGUAAAGUGAUGACAGCUUUCCUUGGCUGUGAAUGUUGACACACUGCGUGUAGGAGGAGAAGAGGAUGUGCAGAAGGAACUCUGUGCAUCACACUAGUUGAUGGUGUAGCAGCCAGAAUCAGCGUGAACAGCAGCUGCAGCUCUGCAUGGAGCCAAUUCAGGCACAGGAUAUGGUGGAAAGCACUGCCAACUGUGCCUGUAGUGUCCGCUAGCAAAGCACAAGGAUGGGCAAGUUUGCCAGGACUGAAUAAAAGAAAACCUAAGAGCAGCUGGUGGUGUGGGCAUCUUCUUCUGGUACCUGAUGAACACUUCAAAGCUGGCUCUGGGCAAAGCCAUGUUUAUAGAGCUCUUGGACUCUGAGUUAGCUAGAGCUUAGACAAGUGGCAGCAGGGAGAGAAAGACGCAAGUAACAAAGGCCCAAAGACAGCAUUCACAGAUCUCUGGGCUGGUCUGUGAAAGAGCUGUGAGGCAUUCUGGGAACGUUGCUGGUGAUUGUGACUGAGAAGUGCUGUGAGCAGAAAUGAGCUAUGAAGCAACUUCUGAAAGGUUGCCUCACCCAGUUCUGAAUACUGAGUUGUAUGUUGUAGAGCUGGUCCUGACCUAGGAUUUCCAAGGUGUUCCAUCAAUGUGAUAUUGAACAAUUAUGACCUUCCUGAAUGUCUCUGUGGUGACAGGGACACCGUGUCAGACAAUACAGUUCCAAUGAUAGUAUCUUUUGAUAAAUCUUCAGAUUUGACAUCUUCUGGACUUGCAGCUUCAUUUGCUACAUGAUUGCCAGCUCUGACAGUGCAGCCUGAAGCUUUAGUUCUUGGAAACCAUUAGCAGAUGUGUCUUUAUUAGGUAGUUUGUUUGCCUUAUGAUUUAAUAAACAAAAGAUGAGAUUUUGAGAAAGGAGAAUUUUAAAUAAUACAUAUGAAUGUAUUUGUACCUGUAUCUUUUAAUAGCACCAGAAAUAGUCUCCAGUAUUCAAAAGUUAGGUUUUUGUGUGAAACUGCCUUGUAAUUUUAAAUUUUUCUUGCAGAGAGGGAGAGGCUUUCUGAAUUUUGACCUUGACAGGCUGAAGAAAUGGGCUGACAAAGAACACUGACAAAGAACCUCACAAAAUUCAAGAAUGAAAAGUGCAAAGUCCUGCACCUUGGGAGGUCCCCAGGCACCAGUACAGGCUAGGGACCACCCAGCUGGCAAGCAGCUCUGCAGGAAAGGACCUAAGAGCCUUGCUAUAUAUUAGAACAUGUCAACAUGAGUCAUCAGUGUGUCCUUGCUGCAAAAAAGGCUAACAGUAUUCUUGGUUGCAUUAGGCAAAGUAUCACCAGCAGGACAAGAGAGAUGAUCCUUCUGCUCUAUUCACCAUUGGUGAGGCCACAUGUGGAGUACUGAGUCCAGUUUUGUGCUCCUCAGUAGAGCAAAGGCAUGGACAUAUUGGAAAGAGUCCAGUGGAAGACCACCAAGAUGAUCAAGUGUCUGGAGUACCUCUCCUGUGAGGAAAGGCUGAGAGAGCUGUGACUGUCCAGCUUGGAGAAGAGAAGGCUCUGGGGGAAUCCUAUCAAUAUCUGUAAAUACUGCAGGGAGGGUGCAAAGAGGACAGAGCAGGCUCUUUUCAUUGGUGCCCAGUGCUAGGACAAUUGGCAGUGGGCAUUAACUGGAACACGGGAGGGCACUGGCACAUGUUACCCAGAGAGGCCAUGAAGUUUCGUGCUUGGAGAUCUUCAGAAGCCACCUGGACCUUGGCCUGGGCACUCUGCUCGGGGUUUCUCUGCUUAGCAAGGGGGUUUGACAUCCAGGGGUUUCUGCCAGCCUCAACCAUUCUGUGAAGUUUCUUUCUUUCUGGUUGGAGAGCCUCUCAAAGCAAAGAUUUGAAGCAGCCAUCACUAUCAUCAUGUGAAAAUGAGGAGCAGUCCACAGACACCCCUCCAUAAGAGCUGAGAACAAUCUCUGAAAACAGCCUGACUUCUAACAGGAGGUCUUGCCACAUCAGGAUGAGGUGGUACAUGUACACUUCUUGCCGUUUCAGCUGACAGACUGUCUAUGGCAACUGAUAAAGUCUGCAGUGGUAUUGCAACAGUGAGAUCUUGGCUGUAGGUGCUAUAGCUUUUACAACCAGAAGUCUUUUUUGUUUUGAUUUUUUGGCUGUAUUCAAGAAGCUCUGAAACAGUUAGGCAUUGGCUGUGCUCCAGCCUAAUAAGCCUGGCUGUUAGUUAGAACAGAUUGUCUUGAUGGAGAUCACAUGGCAUGUGUGGGACAACUGGGGGAUCAGGUCCAGCCAGCAUGGGUUCGUGAAGGGCAGGUCCUACUUGACCAACCUAAUCUCCUUCUGUGAUUGAGCGACCCACCUGGUGGAUGAGGGGAAGGCUGUUGAUGUGGUCUACCUUAACAUCAGCAAAGCCUUCAAUACUGUCUCCUACAGUAUUCUCCUGAAGAAGCUGCAGCCCAUGGCUUGGAUACGUACACUGGGUAAGGAGCUGGCUGGAGGGCCAGGCCCAGAGAGUGGUGAUGAAUGGAGUUAAAUUCAGCUGGUGACCGGUC
Molecule: long non-coding RNA, 2778 nt
Organism: Gallus gallus (chicken)
Lineage: Eukaryota; Metazoa; Chordata; Aves; Galliformes; Phasianidae
Exons: 3
Source: RefSeq, a predicted model, not a curated record